GAUACCAUUUAGCUUGCUAGAUGGGAAAGUGGCGCACGGGUGCGUAACGCGUAUGCAACCUACCUCAAUCAGGGGGAUAGCCCGAAGAAAUUCGGAUUAACACCGCAUAAAAUCACAGUAUAGCAUUAUACAAUGAUCAAAUAUUUAUAGGAUUGAGAUGGGCAUGCGUGUCAUUAGUUAGUUGGCGAGGUAACGGCUCACCAAGACCACGAUGACUAGGGGAUCUGAGAGGAUGACCCCCCACACUGGUACUGAGACACGGACCAGACUCCUACGGGAGGCAGCAGUAAGGAAUAUUGGUCAAUGGAGGCAACUCUGAACCAGCCAUGCCGCGUGCAGGAAGACAGCCCUCUGGGUCGUAAACUGCUUUUAUUCGGGAAUAAACCUACUUACGAGUAAGUAGCUGAAUGUACCGAAGGAAUAAGGAUCGGCUAACUCCGUGCCAGCAGCCGCGGUAAUACGGAGGAUCCAAGCGUUAUCCGGAUUUAUUGGGUUUAAAGGGUGCGUAGGCGGCUUAUUAAGUCAGGGGUGAAAGACGGUGGCUCAACCAUCGCAGUGCCCUUGAUACUGAUGAGCUUGAAUACACUAGAGGUAGGCGGAAUGUGACAAGUAGCGGUGAAAUGCAUAGAUAUGUCACAGAACACCGAUUGCGAAGGCAGCUUACUAUGGUGUUAUUGACGCUGAGGCACGAAAGCGUGGGGAUCAAACAGGAUUAGAUACCCUGGUAGUCCACGCCCUAAACGAUGAAUACUCGCUGUUAGCGAUACACAGUUAGCGGCUAAGCGAAAGCGUUAAGUAUUCCACCUGGGGAGUACGCCCGCAAGGGUGAAACUCAAAGGAAUUGACGGGGGCCCGCACAAGCGGAGGAGCAUGUGGUUUAAUUCGAUGAUACGCGAGGAACCUUACCCGGGCUUGAAAGUUAGUGAAUACUCUAGAGAUAGAUUAGUGAGCAAUCACACGAAACUAGGUGCUGCAUGGCUGUCGUCAGCUCGUGCCGUGAGGUGUUGGGUUAAGUCCCGCAACGAGCGCAACCCCUAUGUUUAGUUGCCAGCACGUUAAGGUGGGGACUCUAAACAGACUGCCUGUGCAAACAGAGAGGAAGGAGGGGACGACGUCAAGUCAUCAUGGCCCUUACGUCCGGGGCUACACACGUGCUACAAUGGGUGGUACAGAGGGCAGCAAGCUGGUAACAGCAAGCAAAUCUCAAAAAGCCAUUCACAGUUCGGAUAGAGGUCUGCAACUCGACCUCUUGAAGUUGGAUUCGCUAGUAAUCGCGUAUCAGCAAUGACGCGGUGAAUACGUUCCCGGGCCUUGUACACACCGCCCGUCAAGCCAUGGAAGUUGGGGGUACCUAAAGUAUGUAACCGCAAGGAGCGUCCUAGGU
Molecule: ribosomal RNA, 1384 nt
Filed under: bacterium
Lineage: Bacteria
Description: bacterial SSU rRNA
Rfam family: Bacterial small subunit ribosomal RNA
Source: RNAcentral